This 30-nucleotide non-coding RNA is filed under the name Mus musculus (house mouse). Lineage: Eukaryota; Metazoa; Chordata; Mammalia; Rodentia; Muridae. The record is from RNAcentral.
UAAAAUCCUAAGUACCUAAGAGUGUAACUU